RNAcentral lists this unclassified non-coding RNA (234 nucleotides) under Hevea brasiliensis (rubber tree). The record is from RNAcentral. Lineage: Eukaryota; Viridiplantae; Streptophyta; Magnoliopsida; Malpighiales; Euphorbiaceae.
GUUCCACAAUCUGAAUCAGGGCUGAACAAAAGAUAAAGACUACUGUAAGUUACAUAAACAAUAGAUGAAGUAUUAGACAAUGAGAGACAAAAGAAACACGCGGUAAAAGAGUUGCAGAAUUUCAACUUGAAGACUGAUGAAUUCAAAUUCAACAAGUGGUUACUAGAUGACAACACAGUCCAAUCCAUACACAGCAAAAUAUUGUAAAAGGUUUAAGGCUUUCAUACUGACCUG